This 1251-nucleotide long non-coding RNA is filed under the name Homo sapiens (human). RNAcentral describes it as "non-protein coding lnc-METTL22-11:1". Lineage: Eukaryota; Metazoa; Chordata; Mammalia; Primates; Hominidae. The record is from RNAcentral.
CACAAAGCUAAGUUUUGAAUACUCUGUGUCACUGCUUCCAGCUGAUAUUAUAAAAGGCAGUGGUGAGGAUUUCAGCUAAAAAAAGAUUCGUUGUUUCAAAAGCCCAGCCUGAAGUAAGACAGUGCCAUAGACACGACCACACCAGAGGGCAGGUGGUUCACAAAGGGCCUUGCAUUCUUCUUUGCUCUUGUUUACUUUACAUGAGGGCAAGGAGUCUCAGAAGCGUAAGAUAUAAUACUACACUAGACAGGCAAGCAGACCUAAUGUGCAAAGUCUCAUGUUGGCUAUAUAGGUAGUUUAUAUGUCAGUUCCAAUUAUGAAUACAUUCCUCAGCAACUAGAGUUUUCUCAUUCAUUCUUACUGAACUGUUAGGGCAUGUGGCAGCCCAGAGCUCUGUCAAAAUGAAUUGUCCCCCUUGAAAAGUUGGCAAUGCAAGGAAGUGACAACCUAAUGCAUGUUAGCACUCUUGAUAACAGGACCCAGAGGAGACGGCGAAGCAACAAUUGGAUAUGUGUCUGGGCACUGGCUGUUGUUCCUGCCUGGGUUCAAAUCUCCUCUCUGCCGCUUAUGAUCUGUGUGCAUUUACAAGUUUGUUAGCCCCCUUACCUCUUUGUUCCUUAUAAGGUUGUCGUGCAAAUUACAUGAAAUGAUGUUACAGGUGUAAGCCAAUGCCUGACACACAUAUGUAUUCUACAGUAAUCAUUAUCAAAGUGGUAAGCAGGAACCAGUGCCAUUUCACAACUAUCAGGUACUCUUCUGGGUACUCAUCAUGAAAGACUGCAGUGUUCCAUUUACAGGCAUUGGUUGGUGGUUUACUAAAGAGUGUGUUUUUGUCCAAGAAGUUCACUCACUACAUUUUGCUCAACCAGUCCUCUCAUUUGCAGCGAUUUUUUUUUCUUUGAGCGUCCCUUGUUGUGCAGCAUAAACAUCUGGGCUGCAUGGUCAGACCCAUGAGGCUUCUCUUCCAUCUGGCCACCUGUUAUAUAAUUAAGCCUGAUUGCAGAUGCGAUUCUCAUUUAGCUGUCAGCAGCAGCCUGGGAGACUAGCAACUGAGGUGAAUAAAGGUAGCUCACCACAUCUACAAGGGUAGAAGGGCUGAAGCGAAGGGUUGACCAGCCAGGACAACAAAGGUUAUUGCUUAUGGCAGUGUCAGCCUAAGAGCUCAAGUUCAAGAUCAGAAGCAUGAGAGGGUAAGACCUCUAGGGGAGUCUGCAUAGGUCCAGGUGAAACCCUGGGUGUCUCUUGAUUGUC